This 254-nucleotide ribosomal RNA is filed under the name uncultured bacterium. RNAcentral's name for it is "partial 16S ribosomal RNA". It matches the Rfam family "Bacterial small subunit ribosomal RNA", at positions 524 to 776 of the family's 1533-position model. The record is from RNAcentral.
GACGUAGGGGGCGAGCGUUGUCCGGAUUUAUUGGGCGUAAAGCGUGCGUAGGCGGCUGCGCAAGUCGGGUGUGAAACCCCGGGGCUCAACCCCGGAACUGCAUCCGAUACUGCGUGGCUAGAGGUAGGUAGGGGAGAUCGGAAUUCCUGGUGUAGCGGUGAAAUGCGCAGACUAUCAGGAGGAACACCGGUGGCGAAGGCGGAUCUCUGGGCCUUACCUGACGCUCAGGCACGAAAGCUAGGGGAGCGAACAGG